Non-coding RNA from Mycena vulgaris, 97 nucleotides. Lineage: Eukaryota; Fungi; Basidiomycota; Agaricomycetes; Agaricales; Mycenaceae. The record is from the annotation of a GenBank genome assembly.
GCGCCGGUGGUGUAGCGGUAACAUACAUCCUUUCUCUGACGAUGAAAGUGGCAAUCGAUUUCGGGAUGAGUCCGGGGUUCGAGUCCCCGCCGGCGCA